GAAGCAGCCAGCUUGCUGGAAGCGGAAGAGGGAAAGGCUUAGUGGCGGACGGGUGAGUAACGCGUGGGUAACCUGGCCCAUACAGGGGGAUAACACUUAGAAAUAGGUGCUAAUACCGCAUAACAACAGAAAGCGCAUGCUUUUUGUUUGAAAACCAAGGUGGUAUGGGAUGGACCCGCGUCUGAUUAGCUGGUUGGCGGGGUAAAGGCCCACCAAGGCGACGAUCAGUAGCCGGCCUGAGAGGGUGGACGGCCACAUUGGGACUGAGACACGGCCCAAACUCCUACGGGAGGCAGCAGUGGGGAAUAUUGCACAAUGGGGGAAACCCUGAUGCAGCGACGCCGCGUGAGUGAAGAAGUAAUUCGUUAUGUAAAGCUCUAUCAGCAGGGAAGAAAAUGACGGUACCUGAGUAAGAAGCCCCGGCUAACUACGUGCCAGCAGCCGCGGUAAUACGUAGGGGGCAAGCGUUAUCCGGAUUUACUGGGUGUAAAGGGAGCGUAGACGGCAGUGCAAGUCUGGAGUGAAAGGCGGGGGCUCAACCCCCGGACUGCUCUGGAAACUGUACGGCUGGAGUGCAGGAGAGGUAAGUGGAAUUCCUAGUGUAGCGGUGAAAUGCGUAGAUAUUAGGAGGAACACCAGUGGCGAAGGCGGCUUACUGGACUGUAACUGACGUUGAGGCUCGAAAGCGUGGGGAGCAAACAGGAUU
Molecule: ribosomal RNA, 706 nt
Filed under: uncultured bacterium
Lineage: Bacteria
Description: bacterial SSU rRNA
Rfam family: Bacterial small subunit ribosomal RNA
Source: RNAcentral